RNAcentral lists this unclassified non-coding RNA (361 nucleotides) under plant metagenome. RNAcentral's name for it is "partial contains 5.8S ribosomal RNA, internal transcribed spacer 2, and large subunit ribosomal RNA". The stretch from base 1 to 106 matches the Rfam family "5.8S ribosomal RNA", at positions 50 to 154 of the family's 154-position model. The record is from RNAcentral.
AAACUGCGAUAAGUAAUGUGAAUUGCAGAACUCAGUGAAUCAUCGAGUCUUCGAACGCACAUUGCGCCCCCUGGUAUCCCGGGGGGGCACGCCUGUCCGAGCGUCGUCAGCGAACCAUCGGGCUCCCCGUGCGGGGCCCGGCCCUGGGCCUGUACCCCCUGGAGGGUAGGCUCGCAAGUCACCGGAUGGUGCCCCUUGGAGGCCCCGAGCGCAGCGGCUGUCACUUGCUCGAGGAGGUCGUCCGGGUGGUCGCGCCACGCGGUUGUGUUGCGUGGAGGGCAAACCCCCCAACGUCAGCCCUACCGUGCCUUACCCCAAACGUUGACCUCGGAUCAGGCGGGGCUACCCGCUGAACUUAAGC